This 454-nucleotide long non-coding RNA is filed under the name Homo sapiens (human). RNAcentral's name for it is "non-protein coding lnc-GUCA2B-1:1". The record is from RNAcentral. Lineage: Eukaryota; Metazoa; Chordata; Mammalia; Primates; Hominidae.
AACACAAAAGGAAGGUGCAGGGACAUCUGCCAUGUUCUCCAGGCCUUUUAGAAAACAUGCAAAAGAAAACAUGGAGUUGUUCCUUUGGCCACAUACAUGUGACUCUACAAAAAAUUGUGAUACUGUAGACAUCAAGGGAAUACGCACUGUUAAAAAAUGGGAAUGCCCCAAAAAUGUUACCAUGGCAAAACCAGAAAGUCUACAGUGUCCCCCAGUACGCUGUUAGCAUUGUUGUAAACAAACAAGUUAAGGACCAGAGAAUUAAUGUGCAUAUUGAGCAUAUUAGGCACCAGAAAUGCAUGAAGGAAAAUGAUUAGAAAAAGAAGGAAGGCAAAGAAUAAGAUACCUGUGUUUAACGAAGCGCCAGCCUGCUCCACCCAGGGAAGCACACUUUGUGAGAGCCAGUGGAAUGGGGUCUGGGCUGCUGGAACCUAUUCCCUAUGCUUCAUGUCAU